This 78-nucleotide transfer RNA is filed under the name Nitrospira sp. RNAcentral's name for it is "tRNA-Glu". It matches the Rfam family "tRNA". Rfam says of the family: Transfer RNA (tRNA) molecules are approximately 80 nucleotides in length. Their secondary structure includes four short double-helical elements and three loops (D, anti-codon, and T loops). Further hydrogen bonds mediate the characteristic L-shaped molecular structure. tRNAs have two regions of fundamental functional importance: the anti-codon, which is responsible for specific mRNA codon recognition, and the 3' end, to which the tRNAs corresponding amino acid is attached (by aminoacyl-tRNA synthetases). tRNAs cope with the degeneracy of the genetic code in two manners: having more than one tRNA (with a specific anti-codon) for a particular amino acid; and 'wobble' base-pairing, i.e. permitting non-standard base-pairing at the 3rd anti-codon position. RNAcentral also lists the same sequence under 8 other names. Lineage: Bacteria; Pseudomonadati; Nitrospirota; Nitrospiria; Nitrospirales; Nitrospiraceae. The record is from RNAcentral.
GGUCCCAUCGUCUAGCCUGGCCUAGGACGGAGCCCUCUCAAGGCUCAGACACGGGUUCAAAUCCCGUUGGGACCACCA